AAGAUGUGCACUUUGUUGUUUUGUGACUAUAACAUUUUGAAUAAAAUAAUUUGAAUUAAUCAUUACACACUAAAUGAUGUUUGUCAUCCCAUGUGUUCUUCUGGUUGAUUUGCAUCCAGAGAUGUGAUUAACAAGAACAGAAAACCACAGGGGGAGGGAAGAUACAUGCAAAAAUGCAAUGCAAAAUUGCUACAUGCAAAAUUAUGUACCAUCUAUAUUUGAUGAAAUGACAGAUGUAUUUGGAAAAACUCAAUGACUCUUCAGCAGUUUUACAGAUGUUAUUAAGGAACCUUAAGAUCCUGUCUGGGAUGAAGUGGAACAUUUGUGGACUCCUGCUCAUUUUACCUGCCCUCUUCAGCAUAUCUGCAGAAGGAAAGAAAAACUGUAAAGAAGGAAAUCAUGGACAUGUAUGUAGUCCUGUCAUGAGGGAAAAUAAACAAAAUCAGGAUGGAACUGAUAUGGAGAUGGAUAUGUUUAUACUGGGUGAUGAUGGUUUCAUGGGAUACAUUGAAGCAGGUGAUUCAAAUCACACACAUUCAAAAGGAUUGAGAAUUAAAUUAUUAUGACACUGAAUGUAUAGUGUGUAUAUGCUGUUACUGCAUAACAUAAAAAUUACAUUUUGGUGUCCAAAUUAUUUAUCAUUUGUCUUUCAAAUAGGUAAAUGUAUUAAUGGUAAAUGGGACCCAAAGGCGAGCCAGUCUACUAUUCUGUGCAAUUCUAGUGGAUCAUUAGGUGAGGAGAAACCCAAUGUAGCCUAAACAGCAUUUUACAAGAGAGAAAGUUUCUACUAACGUUCCUUGAAAAAAAUUGUUUUUAAAUGUUUUUAUCUUGAAAACCU
This 838-nucleotide long non-coding RNA is filed under the name Carassius auratus (goldfish). RNAcentral describes it as "lncRNA (ENSCARG00000027924.1)". Lineage: Eukaryota; Metazoa; Chordata; Actinopteri; Cypriniformes; Cyprinidae. The record is from RNAcentral.